CAAGUCUUGACAUCCCUCUGAAUCCUCUAGAGAUAGAGGCGGCCUUCGGGACAGAGGUGACAGGUGGUGCAUGGUUGUCGUCAGCUCGUGUCGUGAGAUGUUGGGUUAAGUCCCGCAACGAGCGCAACCCUUGAUUUUAGUUGCCAGCACUUUAAGGUGGGCACUCUAGAAUGACUGCCGGUGACAAACCGGAGGAAGGCGGGGAUGACGUCAAAUCAUCAUGCCCCUUAUGACUUGGGCUACACACGUACUACAAUGGCUGGUACAACGGGAAGCGAAGCCGCGAGGUGGAGCCAAUCCUAUAAAAGCCAGUCUCAGUUCGGAUUGCAGGCUGCAACUCGCCUGCAUGAAGUCGGAAUUGCUAGUAAUCGCGGAUCAGCAUGCCGCGGUGAAUACGUUCCC
Molecule: ribosomal RNA, 402 nt
Filed under: uncultured bacterium
Lineage: Bacteria
Description: bacterial SSU rRNA
Rfam family: Bacterial small subunit ribosomal RNA
Source: RNAcentral